GGGUUGUGAGGUUAAGCGACUAAGCGUACACGGUGGAUGCCCUGGCAGUCAGAGGCGAUGAAGGACGUGCUAAUCUGCGAAAAGCGUCGGUAAGGUGAUAUGAACCGUUAUAACCGGCGAUGUCCGAAUGGGGAAACCCAGUGCAAUUCGUUGCACUAUCGUUAACUGAAUACAUAGGUUAACGAGGCGAACCGGGGGAACUGAAACAUCUAAGUACCCCGAGGAAAAGAAAUCAACCGAGAUUCCCCCAGUAGCGGCGAGCGAACGGGGAGCAGCCCAGAGUCUGAAUCAGCUUGUGUGUUAGUGGAACGGUCUGGAAAGUCCGACGGUACAGGGUGAUAGUCCCGUACACCAAAAUGCACAGGCUGUGAACUCGAAGAGUAGGGCGGGACACGUGGUAUCCUGUCUGAAUAUGGGGGGACCAUCCUCCAAGGCUAAAUACUCCUGACUGACCGAUAGUGAACCAGUACCGUGAGGGAAAGGCGAAAAGAACCCCGGCGAGGGGAGUGAAAAAGAACCUGAAACCGUGUACGUACAAGCAGUGGGAGCACCUUCGGGUGUGACUGCGUACCUUUUGUAUAAUGGGUCAGCGACUUAUAUUCUGUAGCAAGGUUAACCGUAUAGGGGAGCCGCAGGGAAACCGAGUCUUAACUGGGCGUUAAGUUGCAGGGUAUAGACCCGAAACCCGGUGAUCUAGCCAUGGGCAGGUUGAAGGUUGGGUAACACUAACUGGAGGACCGAACCGACUAAUGUUGAAAAAUUAGCGGAUGACUUGUGGCUGGGGGUGAAAGGCCAAUCAAACCGGGAGAUAGCUGGUUCUCCCCGAAAGCUAUUUAGGUAGCGCCUCGUGAACUCAUCUUCGGGGGUAGAGCACUGUUUCGGCUAGGGGGUCAUCCCGACUUACCAACCCGAUGCAAACUACGAAUACCGAAGAAUGUUAUCACGGGAGACACACGGCGGGUGCUAACGUCCGUCGUGAAGAGGGAAACAACCCAGACCGCCAGCUAAGGUCCCAAAGUCAUGGUUAAGUGGGAAACGAUGUGGGAAGGCACAGACAGCCAGGAUGUUGGCUUAGAAGCAGCCAUCAUUUAAAGAAAGCGUAAUAGCUCACUGGUCGAGUCGGCCUGCGCGGAAGAUGUAACGGGGCUAAACCAUGCACCGAAGCUGCGGCAGCGACACUAUGUGUUGUUGGGUAGGGGAGCGUUCUGUAAGCCUGCGAAGGUGACCUGUGAGGGUUGCUGGAGGUAUCAGAAGUGCGAAUGCUGACAUAAGUAACGAUAAAGCGGGUGAAAAGCCCGCUCGCCGGAAGACCAAGGGUUCCUGUCCAACGUUAAUCGGGGCAGGGUGAGUCGACCCCUAAGGCGAGGCCGAAAGGCGUAGUCGAUGGGAAACAGGUUAAUAUUCCUGUACUUGGUGUUACUGCGAAGGGGGGACGGAGAAGGCUAUGUUAGCCGGGCGACGGUUGUCCCGGUUUAAGCAUGUAGGCUGAUUGUCCAGGCAAAUCCGGAUAAUCAAGGCUGAGGUGUGAUGACGAGGCACUACGGUGCUGAAGUAACAAAUGCCCUGCUUCCAGGAAAAGCCUCUAAGCAUCAGGUAACAUUAAAUCGUACCCCAAACCGACACAGGUGGUCAGGUAGAGAAUACCAAGGCGCUUGAGAGAACUCGGGUGAAGGAACUAGGCAAAAUGGUGCCGUAACUUCGGGAGAAGGCACGCUGGUGUGUAGGUGAAGUCCCUGCGGAUGGAGCUGAGACCAGUCGAAGAUACCAGCUGGCUGCAACUGUUUAUUAAAAACACAGCACUGUGCAAACACGAAAGUGGACGUAUACGGUGUGACGCCUGCCCGGUGCCGGAAGGUUAAUUGAUGGGGUUAUCCGUAAGGAGAAGCUCUUGAUCGAAGCCCCGGUAAACGGCGGCCGUAACUAUAACGGUCCUAAGGUAGCGAAAUUCCUUGUCGGGUAAGUUCCGACCUGCACGAAUGGCGUAAUGAUGGCCAGGCUGUCUCCACCCGAGACUCAGUGAAAUUGAACUCGCUGUGAAGAUGCAGUGUACCCGCGGCAAGACGGAAAGACCCCGUGAACCUUUACUAUAGCUUGACACUGAACAUUGAGCCUUGAUGUGUAGGAUAGGUGGGAGGCUUUGAAGCGUGGACGCCAGUCUGCGUGGAGCCAACCUUGAAAUACCACCCUUUAAUGUUUGAUGUUCUAACGUUGGCCCCUUACCGGGGUUGCGGACAGUGUCUGGUGGGUAGUUUGACUGGGGCGGUCUCCUCCCAAAGCGUAACGGAGGAGCACGAAGGUUAGCUAAUCCUGGUCGGACAUCAGGAGGUUAGUGCAAUGGCAUAAGCUAGCUUGACUGCGAGCGUGACGGCGCGAGCAGGUGCGAAAGCAGGUCAUAGUGAUCCGGUGGUUCUGAAUGGAAGGGCCAUCGCUCAACGGAUAAAAGGUACUCCGGGGAUAACAGGCUGAUACCGCCCAAGAGUUCAUAUCGACGGCGGUGUUUGGCACCUCGAUGUCGGCUCAUCACAUCCUGGGGCUGAAGUAGGUCCCAAGGGUAUGGCUGUUCGCCAUUUAAAGUGGUACGCGAGCUGGGUUUAGAACGUCGUGAGACAGUUCGGUCCCUAUCUGCCGUGGGCGCUGGAGAAUUGAGGGGGGCUGCUCCUAGUACGAGAGGACCGGAGUGGACGCAUCACUGGUGUUCGGGUUGUCAUGCCAAUGGCACUGCCCGGUAGCUAAAUGCGGAAGAGAUAAGUGCUGAAAGCAUCUAAGCACGAAACUUGCCCCGAGAUGAGUUCUCCCUGAGACUUUAAGUCUCCUGAAGGAACGUUAAAGACGAUGACGUUGAUAGGCCGGGUGUGUAAGCGCAGCGAUGCGUUGAGCUAACCGGUACUAAUGAACCGUGAGGCUUAACCUUACAACGCCGAAG
RNAcentral lists this ribosomal RNA (2923 nucleotides) under Klebsiella pneumoniae. RNAcentral describes it as "23S ribosomal RNA". It matches the Rfam family "Bacterial large subunit ribosomal RNA". The record is from RNAcentral. Lineage: Bacteria; Pseudomonadati; Pseudomonadota; Gammaproteobacteria; Enterobacterales; Enterobacteriaceae.